UCACAUGCAUACAUACAAAAUAUCAGAAGUGUUUAUUGAAGAAUGUGGUGAAAGACACUGGAGCAGAUAAAUAGGUUAUGACUGAAGGUCCUGCUUCCUAGUCUAACCGAGAUGAUUGGGUAGAACGUAAAUAAAACCCAGUAGGUACGUAUGCACCUCACAUGUCUGCUACAAAGAGCAAGCUAGUGACCCCACAUCCUCCCUAAGAUUUGACAGCUUUAAUGGGGAUGUCUUCUAUACUUCUGGACAUAUUUAGGAUGAUAUCUGAGCACCGAAGAACAUAAAGAAAACCACGGCUUCCGGGCAGAGAGAAGAUCUCCUGGGCCCUGAGUACCUCCGAGACAGGCAGGUGUCACAAAGAUACCCCCUUGUCUCAUAUGGCCUCCAUUAAUGAUCCCCAAACUUUCUCUGCUCUUUCCACCCUCUCUCAGACUCCUGCAGUCAUCCUGUGGUCACAUGAAGUGACCCAAGAAAGGGAAGAGACUCUACCUGCCUACAUACUCCACCAAGCCAUUCAUUCUCUGAUUCCUGUGACUUAAAGCUUUGCCAGGAAAACCAGGCCCAGGUGCUCUCAGACCUUACCCAGACAUCAAGGCCUUAGCAAGGACUUCAGCACACAAAGGGAAGAAGUGGAAGCUAUCCUGGGUCCAUUUGACCCAGGACCUUGAAGGAUAGCUUCACAGAACUAGGGCACUGACAUCUGAAAGAGGACACCAGUCUGCUGGCAUCAGCAGAGUGAAGACAAGCAGUUACAGAAUGAAUAUCCAUGCAGUUACUACACAGGCCAGGAACUAGGACACGAAGUCCUGGGGAAGCUUCUCAAUAAUACCAGAAACCAAAGAAACAGAGAUGUUGGCAAACAACACACACCAAAGCUUGGAGAAGGAGCAACUCAGUAAUCACACACUGUGAGACCUGAGCUUUGAUUCUCCACUGAGCUUAUCUGAAACACAAGAGAGAUAACACUAGGCUCAGAUAUGCCAGGGCUUGCAGAAAUUUUACAUCCAGUCCUGCCCACUCAC
Long non-coding RNA from Mastomys coucha (southern multimammate mouse), 1022 nucleotides. RefSeq lists it as uncharacterized. The transcript has 6 exons. The record is from RefSeq and is a predicted model, not a curated record. NCBI's taxonomy places the organism in Eukaryota, Metazoa, Chordata, Mammalia, Rodentia, Muridae.